This 478-nucleotide ribosomal RNA is filed under the name uncultured bacterium. RNAcentral describes it as "partial 16S ribosomal RNA". It matches the Rfam family "Bacterial small subunit ribosomal RNA", at positions 28 to 523 of the family's 1533-position model. The record is from RNAcentral.
GACGAACGCUGGCGGCGUGCUUAACACAUGCAAGUCGAACGGUAAGGCCCUUCGGGGUACACGAGUGGCGAACGGGUGAGUAACACGUGGGUGAUCUGCCCCACACUUCGGGAUAAGCCUGGGAAACUGGGUCUAAUACCGGAUAGGACUACUGCCUGCAGGGGUGGUGGUGGAAAGCUUUUGCGGGGUGGGAUGGGCCCGCGGCCGAUCAGCUUGUUGGUGGGGUGAUGGGCUACCAAGGCGACGACGGGUAGCCGGCCUGAGAGGGUGACCGGCCACACUGGGACUGAGAUACGGCCCAGACUCCUACGGGAGGCAGCAGUGGGGAAUAUUGCACAAUGGGCGCAAGCCUGAUGCAGCGACGCCGCGUGAGGGAUGACGGCCUUCGGGUUGUAAACCUCUUUCAGCACCGACGAAGCGCAAGUGACGGUAGGUGCAGAAGAAGGACCGGCCAACUACGUGCCAGCAGCCGCCGUAA